GGUUCUGCUGGUGAGGCGAUGUGUUCACAGGAAACCUGAAGAUAGUUAAUCUAAUGGAUCAUCUUAGCAGAACAAGACAAAGCUGGAGAAGAUGAAGUCAUCACUGACAUCAUGUGCAGUAUAAUCAACAUAUCAAAAAAUCAACAAGAGCCAAUCAGAGAAAUCCGAGAGAGUUACUCAGCUGCAGUCUACUCAGCAGUGAAAACUGAAGAUAUGAGUAAUGGACGAACAGCCAUCAGAGCCAGGAGGACCAGACUUUAAACCAGAGCCAGACGUUGUCUACUCUUCACUGAAGUAGUCCACCAGUCCAACCACUGACGUCCAGCUGCUGGUCUCUAGUUGGUCUCCCCAGCACUUCAAACCAGAGAUCCACAAGUUAACAAUAUAUAUUUUUAAUAUGUUUUUAUUUAACUUGUAUACAUUAUUUUAUCUUAUCUUUUAUGUGAAUUUUCUCUAAAAUUUAAAAUGUGAACAGUAAAUGUUAAAAUGUUCUGGUGACUGUGGUUCAGAUGGUAAUUUGAUUGGUAGUUUGUCAGGUGAUUUUUGGGCAGGAUACUGAACUUUGAGCUUCCCCCAAUGCAUGCACAUGAGUGUGUCUGUGAAUAUUACAAUAUUUAUCCUUGCAAUAACGUAUGUGUGAAUGAGACUUGCAAUAGAAAGCGAAAGUGCUUUGAGUGUUCGUCUUGCGUGUUUUCCUCGUGUGUUUCUGUGAGUCUAAAAAGAUUUAAAACGGAAACUUAAAUAAACAUCAAACCACACCAGACUAAAUUUGUGAAUUCAUGUGAAUCAGAACCGACUUAUUUUUCGACCACAUCUCCUGAACCACCAAUCUCCUGUUAAACUGCUCACCAUUGAACUUUGGAA
Long non-coding RNA from Haplochromis burtoni (Burton's mouthbrooder), 864 nucleotides. RefSeq lists it as uncharacterized. The transcript has 4 exons. The record is from RefSeq and is a predicted model, not a curated record. NCBI's taxonomy places the organism in Eukaryota, Metazoa, Chordata, Actinopteri, Cichliformes, Cichlidae.